This 440-nucleotide ribosomal RNA is filed under the name uncultured bacterium. RNAcentral describes it as "partial 16S ribosomal RNA". It matches the Rfam family "Bacterial small subunit ribosomal RNA", at positions 338 to 795 of the family's 1533-position model. The record is from RNAcentral.
CCUACGGGGGGCAGCAGUAGGGAAUAUUGCUCAAUGGGGGAAACCCUGAAGCAGCAACGCCGCGUGGAGGAUGAAGGUUUUCGGAUUGUAAACUCCUUUUGUUAGAGAAGAUAAUGACGGUAUCUAACGAAUAAGCACCGGCUAACUCCGUGCCAGCAGCCGCGGUAAUACGGAGGGUGCAAGCGUUACUCGGAAUCACUGGGCGUAAAGAGUGCGUAGGCGGGAUAGCAAGUCAGAUGUGAAAUCCUAUGGCUUAACUACAGAACUGCAUUUGAAACUGUUACUCUAGAGUGUGGGAGAGGUAGGUGGAAUUCUUGGUGUAGGGGUAAAAUCCGUAGAGAUCAAGAGGAAUACUCAUUGCGAAGGCGACCUGCUAGAACAUAACUGACGCUGAUGCGCGAAAGCGUGGGGAGCAAACAGGAUUAGAUACCCCGGUAGUC